This 855-nucleotide ribosomal RNA is filed under the name Ralstonia solanacearum. Its description in RNAcentral is "bacterial SSU rRNA". It matches the Rfam family "Bacterial small subunit ribosomal RNA", at positions 138 to 994 of the family's 1533-position model. Lineage: Bacteria; Pseudomonadati; Pseudomonadota; Betaproteobacteria; Burkholderiales; Burkholderiaceae. The record is from RNAcentral.
GGGGGAUAACUAGUCGAAAGACUAGCUAAUACCGCAUACGACCUGAGGGUGAAAGUGGGGGACCGCAAGGCCUCAUGCUAUAGGAGCGGCCGAUGUCUGAUUAGCUAGUUGGUGGGGUAAAGGCCCACCAAGGCGACGAUCAGUAGCUGGUCUGAGAGGACGAUCAGCCACACUGGGACUGAGACACGGCCCAGACUCCUACGGGAGGCAGCAGUGGGGAAUUUUGGACAAUGGGGGCAACCCUGAUCCAGCAAUGCCGCGUGUGUGAAGAAGGCCUUCGGGUUGUAAAGCACUUUUGUCCGGAAAGAAAUCGCACUGGUUAAUACCUGGUGUGGAUGACGGUACCGGAAGAAUAAGGACCGGCUAACUACGUGCCAGCAGCCGCGGUAAUACGUAGGGUCCAAGCGUUAAUCGGAAUUACUGGGCGUAAAGCGUGCGCAGGCGGUUGUGCAAGACCGAUGUGAAAUCCCCGGGCUUAACCUGGGAAUUGCAUUGGUGACUGCACGGCUAGAGUGUGUCAGAGGGAGGUAGAAUUCCACGUGUAGCAGUGAAAUGCGUAGAGAUGUGGAGGAAUACCGAUGGCGAAGGCAGCCUCCUGGGAUAACACUGACGCUCAUGCACGAAAGCGUGGGGAGCAAACAGGAUUAGAUACCCUGGUAGUCCACGCCCUAAACGAUGUCAACUAGUUGUUGGGGAUUCAUUUCCUUAGUAACGUAGCUAACGCGUGAAGUUGACCGCCUGGGGAGUACGGUCGCAAGAUUAAAACUCAAAGGAAUUGACGGGACCCGCACAGCGGUGGAUGAUGUGGAUUAAUUCGAUGCACGCGAAAACCUUACCUACCUUGACAUGCCACUA